ACGUCGACACAACAUGGGUGUGGGUGUCAGAACUAGUCAACUUACCUUGGUAUCCAACCUCUCUAUUCGCACCCGUAUCGGGUACCUGAACCCAAGUCCGAGCAACAUAAGCGCACAAGGCAAAGUUUAUGAUCUUUGAAUAUUCAUAAUAUCGACAAACUAUCAAUCAAUCAUGUCUAUACAAGCUUGUCACAGAUGGAUAUAUGAAAUACUUUAUUUUCAUU
Molecule: long non-coding RNA, 224 nt
Filed under: Nicotiana benthamiana
Lineage: Eukaryota; Viridiplantae; Streptophyta; Magnoliopsida; Solanales; Solanaceae
Description: long non-coding RNA (NBEN_LNC000721)
Source: RNAcentral